Molecule: ribosomal RNA, 254 nt
Filed under: uncultured bacterium
Lineage: Bacteria
Description: partial 16S ribosomal RNA
Rfam family: Bacterial small subunit ribosomal RNA
Source: RNAcentral
UACGGGGGGAGCUAGCGUUGUUCGGAUUUACUGGGCGUAAAGGGCGCGUAGGCGGUCAGCACAAGUCAGUUGUGAAAUCUCCGGGCUUAACUCGGAAAGGUCAACUGAUACUGUGCGACUAGAGUGCGGAAGGGGCAACUGGAAUUCUCGGUGUAGCGGUGAAAUGCGUAGAUAUCGAGAGGAACACCUGCGGCGAAGGCGGGUUGCUGGGCCGACACUGACGCUGAUGCGCGAAAGCGUGGGGAGCGAACCGG